Vicugna pacos (alpaca) is the source of this 563-nucleotide non-coding RNA. The record is from RefSeq and is a predicted model, not a curated record. NCBI's taxonomy places the organism in Eukaryota, Metazoa, Chordata, Mammalia, Artiodactyla, Camelidae.
CCUCACUUACGCCUCGUAGUCUUCCUUUCCCUCAGGCCCAGUUCUUAUCCCACUGGGUUUCUCAGGUGUAGAACUGACGCUGGAAUGCAGAGUUCUUUAGAAGGAUCUGCUGACUUGAAUUGAGGACAAGGUGACUUCUCUGCUGGCCCCAAAGGACUGCUCCUUACCCUCAGAGACAGGGUCUGUGCGCCCCAGCCCUGCAGAGGGAUCCCAAGACAUUAACGUACUUUAUGACAAGGAAGAGUAAGACGACACCUACAUACUUACAGUAUCGUCUGCGUCUGAAAUUCAACCCUCCACGAACGUUUUCCCAGGUUACUAAAUACUCGUCCACAUCCACGUCUGCGCCCCCGGGUAUGCGGCCACCACGCCCUUGCUCAACAGUAACAGCGAACGCCAGCUAGCCGGCUUCGUCGUCAUCACCAUCGGAUGGACCCCGGGCACCGCGGCCGUGGGCCUGGCGGAGUGUCCAGGGCGGUACAGCGACACUGCCGCGCUCUCCCCGCCGGCCCGGCCCGCGUGGGGAUGCGGUGAGCCUGCGUCUUCCACCACAUCCACGAUGC